AAAGUUCAAUUGCAUUCUAUUGGUAUCACGUGAUGAAAAAUGGCAGCUUUCUGAUGAUUGUAUCACAAAACUAGCUACUACUGCAGAAACUAGAGAGAUCUAUGACGACCCUUGACGACAUGAAUAUAAGAAGGAGAAAGAGACAGUGCAUCUUAACUUUGAUUCCCUUUUUUAUUUCAUCAGAUAAAUCAAUCUUCGCUAGUUUAA
Amphimedon queenslandica is the source of this 207-nucleotide long non-coding RNA. RefSeq lists it as uncharacterized. The record is from RefSeq and is a predicted model, not a curated record. Lineage: Eukaryota; Metazoa; Porifera; Demospongiae; Haplosclerida; Niphatidae. The transcript is spliced from 2 exons.